UGGUUUGUUACGUCGAUUCAC
Molecule: non-coding RNA, 21 nt
Organism: Caenorhabditis elegans
Lineage: Eukaryota; Metazoa; Nematoda; Chromadorea; Rhabditida; Rhabditidae
Source: Ensembl